UAAUACGGAGGAUGCAAGCGUUAUCCGGAAUUAUUGGGCGUAAAGCGUCCGCAGGUGGUUGGUCAAGUCUGCUGUCAAAGCGUGGAGCUUAACUCCAUAAGGGCGGUGGAAACUGAUUAACUAGAGGAUGGUAGGGGUCACGGGAAUUCCCAGUGUAGCGGUGAAAUGCGUAGAUAUUGGGAAGAACACCAGCGGCGAAAGCGCGUGACUGGGCCAUUACUGACACUCAUGGACGAAAGCUAGGGGAGCGAAAGGG
This 256-nucleotide ribosomal RNA is filed under the name uncultured archaeon. Its description in RNAcentral is "partial 16S ribosomal RNA". It matches the Rfam family "Bacterial small subunit ribosomal RNA", at positions 521 to 776 of the family's 1533-position model. The record is from RNAcentral.